CUAACAUGAGCAUUUUUCAUUAUUUUUAGGCCUAUUAUGAAGUUUGGACUCCAGACCUUUCUGGAUCUGCGAACACACAGGGAACAACUCGCCACAGCAUUGCUAUCGACCUCUGAGGAACAGCUCAUGUCAUCACUCCGCAAAAGUGCUGGCGAAACAUUUAUCUAGAUGAAAGACCUCAAGCAGUUAACCUGCUCAGCAGAGGCAAUGCAACCAGGCAACAGGAUAAUGACCUCUAUCCAAAUGUGGAAGGUACAUCAAUUUAAUACCUUGACAGCUCGACAAAAGAUGAUGGCAGCUCAGCAGGAAAACAUUAGCCAUGAUAACGCAGGGUACUGUAUGUGAAAAGAAUGAAUUAUAAAGCACAAUGCUAUUUGGGCCGAGUAGGGAUUUUUUUUUUAAACCAACUUUAUAUUUAGGACGGUAGCCAUGCCUAAAGCCUCCUUCCAUUCUUUUCUACCUGAAGAAUAUCCUGAUAAAAGUAAAGAGGCAGUGUGGAUUAAAUUGACAGCUUAAAUACAAAAGGAGUUUCCUAACUUACCCAGGAAAUGCUGCACAUCAUUUCUGGCAGGCUUGUUACUAUUUCAGAGUAGAAAGCCCUCGGCAUUGGCAAACUGGCUUAAUCCACUAGACAACUGGUAAUUCAAGUAAGUGUGGACACAACCAGUCUUACUGUGUGUGUUAUUUUGUUUUAUUUUUAAAGGGAGAAGGUACUUGAUGCACUUGGGAUCCUUCAGAUCUUUAGCUGUAACUUGUCUCUAUUGCAAUUCAUUUAAAAAAAAAUAAUUUUAAAGUAGUAGUAGUAUGAUCAUGGGUGUAUGUUUAUCCAAGGACCUUUCCUCUGUGACAGGGUUUCAGCCUGUGAGGUUUUCUCUACACAUGGCAGGCAGCUGUCAGAACCAGUGUGAGGGGUGAAAGGGCAGCCCGGCUGCUCUGUUAAAUCACCGGGUUCCAUCAACAUCUCAGAAUUCCUGCCGAGUGGGAGCUGGGAGACCACAGAUUAGAGUACACUGGAGUGUGUAUAUUAGGUCACUCAGUGUCUAUCAAAGCAAUAUCAUGCCGGUGAGCUGUACAAUAGAUUUUACUGUGUUCUGUUCAAAGAAAAUGUAAGGAAAGUGGACAUGUGUGUAGCAGACCACAACCGAACACUGAAUUCUCCUUGUCUUUAAAUGGACGGAUUUAUUAUCCACAAGAUGAACGAAGAACAGGAGCACAAUAAAUAGCUUUGGAAAACAUGUAAGGCUGGUGGUUUUAUGCUGUUCUUGGAAAUAACUGGUGAGCAGAUGCAGCGAAUAGAGCCCAGGGCCCUGCAGUGGAGGGGAAGAGAGCCUGAUCACGACUGUAGUCUCGGACCAUGAACAUGGACAGUCACUGCACCUCAGUCUCACAGAACUUCCAUGUCCUCAUUAAUAAAUUAGAAAUAAUAUCUGCCUCCUCUAUCACCAUAGACAGGUAAAUAAAAAAUGAAUUC
RNAcentral lists this long non-coding RNA (1471 nucleotides) under Marmota monax (woodchuck). Lineage: Eukaryota; Metazoa; Chordata; Mammalia; Rodentia; Sciuridae. The record is from RNAcentral.